GCCGUUGUAGCUCAGCUGGUAGAGCGCUUCCAUGGUAAGGAAGAGGUCCCGGGUUCGAUUCCCGGCAAUGGCUCCA
RNAcentral lists this transfer RNA (76 nucleotides) under Candidatus Chaera renei. RNAcentral's name for it is "bacterium AMD01 tRNA-Thr". It matches the Rfam family "tRNA". From Rfam's summary of the family: Transfer RNA (tRNA) molecules are approximately 80 nucleotides in length. Their secondary structure includes four short double-helical elements and three loops (D, anti-codon, and T loops). Further hydrogen bonds mediate the characteristic L-shaped molecular structure. tRNAs have two regions of fundamental functional importance: the anti-codon, which is responsible for specific mRNA codon recognition, and the 3' end, to which the tRNAs corresponding amino acid is attached (by aminoacyl-tRNA synthetases). tRNAs cope with the degeneracy of the genetic code in two manners: having more than one tRNA (with a specific anti-codon) for a particular amino acid; and 'wobble' base-pairing, i.e. permitting non-standard base-pairing at the 3rd anti-codon position. The record is from RNAcentral. Lineage: Bacteria; Candidatus Saccharimonadota; Candidatus Saccharimonadia; Saccharimonadales (SeqCode); Saccharimonadaceae (SeqCode).